GACGAACGCUGGCGGCGUGCUUAACACAUGCAAGUCGAACGGAAAGGCCCUGCUUUUGUGGGGUGCUCGAGUGGCGAACGGGUGAGUAACACGUGAGUAACCUGCCCUUGACUUUGGGAUAACUUCAGGAAACUGGGGCUAAUACCGGAUAGGAGCUCCUGCUGCAUGGUGGGGGUUGGAAAGUUUCGGCGGUUGGGGAUGGACUCGCGGCUUAUCAGCUUGUUGGUGGGGUAGUGGCUUACCAAGGCCUUGACGGGUAGCCGGCCUGAGAGGGUGACCGGCCACAUUGGGACUGAGAUACGGCCCAGACUCCUACGGGAGGCAGCAGUGGGGAAUAUUGCACAAUGGGCGGAAGCCUGAUGCAGCAACGCCGCGUGCGGGAUGACGGCCUUCGGGUUGUAAACCGCUUUCGCCUGUGACGAGGCGUGAGUGACGGUAAUGGGUAAAGAAGCACCGGCUAACUACGUG
This 468-nucleotide ribosomal RNA is filed under the name uncultured bacterium. Its description in RNAcentral is "partial 16S ribosomal RNA". It matches the Rfam family "Bacterial small subunit ribosomal RNA", at positions 28 to 507 of the family's 1533-position model. The record is from RNAcentral.